Small nuclear RNA from Syzygium oleosum, 160 nucleotides. RefSeq annotates it as U1 spliceosomal RNA. The record is from RefSeq and is a predicted model, not a curated record. Lineage: Eukaryota; Viridiplantae; Streptophyta; Magnoliopsida; Myrtales; Myrtaceae. The transcript has a single exon.
UGGUCUACCUGGACGGGGUCGAUGGGCGAUCAAGAAGGCCCAUGGCCUAGGUUAGCGACCUCCAUUGCACUUUGGAGGGGAGCUCACCUAAGGUCAACCCGUAGUGGUUGUGCCUACAUCAUAAUUGAUCCUUGUCAAGAAAAAAUUUCAUCAAUUUGAC